Molecule: ribosomal RNA, 253 nt
Filed under: uncultured bacterium
Lineage: Bacteria
Description: partial 16S ribosomal RNA
Rfam family: Bacterial small subunit ribosomal RNA
Source: RNAcentral
GACGUAGGGCGCGAGCGUUGUCCGGAUUUAUUGGGCGUAAAGAGCUCGUAGGCGGCUUGUCGCGUCGUCUGUGAGAUCCCACGGCUCAACUGUGGGCUUGCAGUCGAUACGGGCAGGCUGGAGUUCGGUAGGGGAGACUGGAAUUCCUGGUGUAGCGGUGAAAUGCGCAGAUAUCAGGAGGAACACCGGUGGCGAAGGCGGGUCUCUGGGCCGAUACUGACGCUGAGGAGCGAAAGCGUGGGGAGCGAACAGG